This is a long non-coding RNA of Mytilus californianus (California mussel), 6534 nucleotides long. RefSeq lists it as uncharacterized. The record is from RefSeq and is a predicted model, not a curated record. The transcript is spliced from 2 exons. NCBI's taxonomy places the organism in Eukaryota, Metazoa, Mollusca, Bivalvia, Mytilida, Mytilidae.
UUUUUUUCUUUUUUUCAUUUUUUUUUUCUUUUAAAAUUUUCCAUUUUAAGUUGGUUAUUUCUGAUUUAUAUUUAAAAGCAAAUAAUAAUGAUAUGGUAGGAGAUACACACCAAACAGGAUGUGUAAAUUAUUAUAUAAUAAGUAUUGUGCAAUAGCAAGAAAUUUUCAAUUGCAUUGCACAAUAGCAAGAAAUCUUCAAUUGCACAGUAUUGCGCAAUAGCAAGAAAUCUUCAAUUGCACAGUAUUGCGCAAUAGCAAGAAAUAUCCAAUAGCACAAUAUUGCGCAAUAGCAAGAAAUUGUCAAUUGUACAGUAUUGCGCAAUAGCAAGAAAUAUUCAAUUGCACAGUAUUGUGCAAAAGAAGAUACUUCGUAUAAAUUGCUUAUUUCUUGAUCAAUUUCAAUGGGGUUUUAUUCUUGAAUUCUUGGGGUUCUUUAAUAUGCUGAAUCUAACCGUGUAUUAGGUUUUUGGAUUUUUGGCCCCGUUUUUAAAUUGGUCCACAUUGAGGUCCAAAGGGUCCAAAAUUUAACUUUGUUUGAUUUCAUCAAAAAUUGAAUUAUUGGGGUUCUUUGAUAUGCCGAAUCUAAUCGUGUAUUUAGAUUCUUAAUUUUUGGUUCCGUUUUCAAAUUGGUCUACAUUAAGGUCCAAAGGGUCCAAAAUUAAAAUUAGUUUGAUUUUAACAAAAAUUGAAUUUUUAGGGUUCUUUGAUAUGCUGAAUCUAAACAUGUAUUUAGAUUUUUGAUUAUGGGCCCAGUUUUCAAGUUGGUCCAAAUCGGGGUCCAAAAUUAAACUUUGUUUGAUUUCAACAAAAAUUGAAUAUACGGGGUUCUUUGAUAUGCUGAAUCUAACCAUGUAUUUAGAUUUUUGAUUUUUGGGCCCCGUUAUCAACUUUGUCCACAUUGAGGCCAAAAGGGUCCAAAAUUAAACUUUGUUUGAUUUCAUCAAAAAUUGAAUUCUUGGGGUUCUUUGAUAUGCUGAAUCUAACCAUGUAUUUAGAUUUUGGAUAUUUGACCAUAAUAGGUGAAUGUCCAAUUUAAAAUUUUUAAGUUCUUAGACCACAUUCAUUUUGUGUCAGAAACCUAUGCUGUGUCAAAUAUUUAAUCACAAUCCAAAUUCAGAGCUGUAUCAAGCUUGAAUGUUGUGUCCAUACUUGCCCCAACUGUUCAGGGUUCGACCUCUGCGGUCGUAUCAAGCUGCGCCCUGUGGAGCAUUUUAUUGAUGAAGUUGAAGUCCAAUCAAUCAACUUGAAACUUAGUACACAUGUUCCCAUGAUAUGAUCUUUCUAAUUUUAAUGCCAAAUUAGAGUUUUGACCCCAAUUUCACGGUCCACUGAACAUAGAAAAUGAUUGUGCGAGUGGGGCAUCCGUUUCUAUGGACAUGCACAUUCUUGUUCAAAAUUCACUUAUAAUUACUUCACAUGCUUUAAUAUUUGGUUGAUAAAUAGUUUAUUUAUAGUUAUUAUUUACAGAAUGUUAAUAUGUUUAAUAAAUGCCAGGUUUGGUUGAUAAAUAGUUUAUUUAUAGUUUUAUUUUUUUUACAGAAUGUCAAUUUGUAUAAAUGCCUGAUUUUUGCCAAAUUAUUUUUAAAAAGGAUUUUUCAAAAAAAAUUUAUAUCAUAUUGAUAUCUAGUUAGGUUAUUACUCUUCAACUGCAACAAGUUUUUUACAGUGGAUUCCUUUACUUAAAUCAUAACUUAAAACCAGGAAAUAUCUGAUGUCCAGCUGCUAACAACAUGGUGUUCCCCAAAUCGUUCAUUAUGUUGAGAAAUUACACACAUGUCAAACCAGAUAUUGGUGGGUGUCUUCCAAGUUUUUGCCAUUCUUUAUUUUCAAUGCAUGGAGAACAACCCUAUCUUAAUGUUUAGUUUCAAUGCACAGAGAACAACCCUAGCUUAAUGUUUAGUUUCAAUGCUAACAUCCCUGUCUUAAUGUUUAGUUUUAAUGCUAACAGCCCUAUCUCAAUGUUAAGUUUCAAUACACGGAGAACAACCCUGUCUUAAUGUUUAGUUUCAAUGCAUGGAGAACAACCCUGUCUUAAUGUUUAGUUUCAAUGCAUUGAGAACAACCCUAUCUUAAUGUUUAGUUUCAAUGCAUGGAGAACAACCCUGUCUUAAUGUUUAGUUUCAAUGCAUGGAGAACAACCCUGUCUUAAUGUUUAGUUUCAAUGCAUUGAGAACAACCCUAUCUUAAUGUUUAGUUUCAAUGCAUGGAGAGCAGCUCUGUCUUAAUGUUUAGUUUCAAUGCAUGGAGAACAACCCUGUCUUAAUGUUUAGUUUCAAUGCAUGGAGAACAACCCUAGCUCAAUGUUUAGUUUCAAUGCUAACAGCCCUGUCUUAAUGUUUAGUGUCAAUGCAUUGAGAACAACCCUGUCUUAAUGUUUAGUUUCAAUGCAUGGAGAACAACCCUAGCUCAAUGUUUAGUUUCAAUGCUAACAGCCCUGUCUUAAUAUUUAGUUUCAAUGCAUUGAGAACAACCCUGUCUUAAUGUUUAGUUUCAAUGCAUUGAGAGCAGCCCUGUCUUAAUGUUUAGUUUCAAUGCAUUGACAACAACCCUAGCUUAAUGUUUAGUUUCAAUGCUAACAUCCCUGUCUUAAUGUUUAGUUUUAAUGCUAACAGCCCUAUCUCAAUGUUUAGUUUCAAUGCACGGAGAACAACCCUGUCUUAAUGUUUAGUUUCAAUGCAUGGAGAACAACCCUGUCUUAAUGUUUAGUUUCAAUGCAUUGAGAACAACCCUAUCUUAAUGUUUAGUUUCAAUGCAUGGAGAGCAGCCCUGUCUUAAUGUUUAGUUUCAAUGCAUGGAGAACAACCCUAGCUCAAUGUUUAGUUUCAAUGCUAACAGCCCUGUCUUAAUGUUUAGUGUCAAUGCAUUGAGAACAACCCUGUCUUAAUGUUUAGUUUCAAUGCAUUGAGAACAACCCUGUCUUAAUGUUUAGUUUCAAUGCAUUGAGAGCAGCCCUGUCUUAAUGUUUAGUUUCAAUGCAUUGAGAGCAGCCCUCUCUUAAUGUUUAGUUUCAAUGCAUUGACAACAACCCUGUCUUAAUGUUUAGUUUCAAUGCAUGGAGAACAACCCUAACUCAAUGUUUAGUUUCAAUGCUAACAGCCAUGUCUUAAUGUUUAGUUUCAAUGCUAACAGCCCUGUCUUAAUGUUUAGUUUCAAUGCUAACAGCCCUGUCUUAUUUUUUAGUUUCAAUGCAUGGAGAAUAUGUGUUUUUCUAUGUUGUGAUGUUAUACUAUUGUUUCAGAAAAGGGAGAAGGUUUGGUACCAUUAAAACGUUUAAUUCCGCAGUAAAUGUUAUCCAUUAGUUUGAUGUGUUUGGUUUUUUUUUAUUUUGCCAUUUGAUUGGGGACUUUCCUUUUUGAAUUUUCCUCGGAGUUCAGUAUUUUUGUGAUUUUACUUUUUUUUUGCACCUGUCCUAAGUCAGGUAUCUGAUUACAGUAGUUGUCGUCUGUUUAUGUAGUUCAUACGUGUUUGUUGUUUCUCGUUUUUAUAUAGAUUAGACCGUUGGUUUUUCCGUUUGAAUGGUUUUACACUAGUAAUUUUUUGGGGCCCUUUAUAGCUUGCUGUUCGGUGUGAGCCAAUGCUCCGUGUUGAAGGCCGUACCUUGACCUAUAAUGGUUUACUUUUAUAAAUUGUAACUUGGAUGGAGAGUUGUCUCAUUGGCACUCAUACCAUAUCUUCCUAUAUCUAUGUUUAGUUUCAAAAAGUAAAAUCACAAUUCAUUGAGAACAGCCCUGUAUUAAUGUUUAGUUUCAAUGCAUGGAGAACAUGUUUAGUUUCAAUGCAAGGAGAACAAGUCUGUCUUAAUGUUUAGUUUCAAUGCAUGAACAACAGCCCUGUCUUAAUGUUUAGUUUCAUUGCAUGGAGAACAACCCUGUCUUAAUGUUUAGUUUCAAUGCAUGGAGAACAGCCCUGUCUUAAUGUUUAGUUUCAAUGCAUGGAGAACAACCCUAGCUUAAUGUUUAGUUUCAAUGCUUGUAGACCAUGUUUAGUUUCAAUGCAUGGAGAGCAGCCCUGUCUUCAUGUUUAGUUUCAAUGCAUGGAGAACAACCCUGUCUUAAUGUUUAGUUUCAAUGCAUGGAGAACAACCCUGUCUUAAUGUUUAGUUUCAAUGCAUGGAGAACAACCCUGUCUUUAUGUUUAGUUUCAAUGCAUGGAGAACAACCCUGUCUUAAUGUUUAGUUUCAAUGCAUGGAGAACAACCCUGUCUUAAUGUUUAGUUUCAAUGCAUGGAGAACAACCCUGUCUUAAUGUUUAAGUUCAAUGCAUGGAGAACAACCCUAGCUUAAUGUUUAGUUUCAAUGCUUGUAGACCAUGUUUAGUUUCAAUGCAUGGAGAGCAGCCCUGUCUUAAUGUUUAGUUUCAAUGCAUGGAGAACAACCCUGUCUUAAUGUUUAGUUUCAAUGCAUGGAGAACAGCCCUGUAUGCGCUAGAAAAUUUCUAUAGUCAGAUUGAUAUGAGAUCUUUGGAGGCUAGAAAAGUAUUAAAUUGUUACACGUCAUAUUCUUUCUAUUGUAUUCUCCCAUAAAGCUGGUUGUCUGUUGUAAGCUUGUGUUGAAAGAUUUAUAUUUUCGUUCUAUAAAUGUGCCAUUUGUUUUAGAACAAGACCCUUUGCUAUUCUUUACUUUAUUCAAAUACAAAUAUGUAUUUUCUAUGCCAAAGAAAUGCUCAAUUGCACAGAUCAAACUACAGUGUUGUCAUAGAGGUUGUAGAGAAGCCGAUUCUCCAAAUAGACAUGCUAUUUUUAGAUCACCUGGCCCAGAGGGCCAAGUGAGCUUUUCUCAUCACUUGGCGUCUGUCGUCCGUCGUCAUUAACUUUUUACAUUUUGAACUUCUUCUAGAGAACCACUGAAUGGAAUGAAACCAAACAUGGCAUGAAUGUUCCUUAUCAGGUGCUGACCAAGUGUUGUUACUUUGUAGCCGAUCCAUCAUCCAAGAUGGCCGCCAGCGGGGGACUUAGUUUAACAUAGGACCCUAUGGGAAAUACAUACAAAUGUCUUCUUUUAGAGAACCACUGAAUGGAAUGGAACCAAACAUGGCAUGAAUGUUCCUUAUGAGGUGCUGACCAAGUGUUGUUACUUUGCAGUCGAUCCAUCAUCCAAGAUGGCCGCCAGCGGGGGACUAAUUUAACUUGGGACCCUAUGGGAAAUACAUACACGUCUUCUUUUAGAGAACCACUGAAUGGAAUGAAACCAAACAUGGCAUGAAUGUUCCUUAUGAGGUGCUGACCAAGUGUUGUUACUUUGCAGCCAAUCCAUCAUCCAAUAUGGCCGCCAGUGGGUGACUUAGUUUAACAUAGGACCCUAUGGGAAAUACAUACAAAUGUCUUCUUUUAGAGAACCACUAAAUGGAAUGAAACCAAACAUGGCAUGAAUGUUCCUUAUGAGGUGCUGACCAAGUGUUGUUACUUUGCAGUCGGUCCAUCAUCCAAGAUGGCCGACAGCGGGGGACUUAGUUUAACAUAGGACCCUAUGGGAAAUACAUACAAAUGUCUUCUUUUAGAGAACCACUGAAUGGAAUGGAACCAAACAUGGCAUGAAUGUUCCUUAUGAGGUGCUGACCAAGUGUUGUUACUUUGCAGUCGGUCCAUCAUCCAAGAUGGCCGACAGCGGGGGACUUAGUUUAAUAUAGGACCCUAUGGGAAAUACAUACAAAUGUCUUCUUUUAGAAAACCACUGAAUGGAAUGGAACCAAACAUAGCAUGAAUGUUCCUUAUGAGGUGCUGACCAAGUGUUGUUACUUUGCAGCCGAUCCAUCAUCCAAGAUGGCCGCCAGGGGGGGACUUAGUUUAACAUAGGACCCUAUGGGAAAUACAUACAAAUGUCUUCUUUUAAAGUACCACUGAAUGGAAUGAAACCAAACAUGGCAUGAAUGUUCCCUAUGAGGUGCUGACCAAGUGUUGCUUCUUUGUUGCCGAUUUACUGUUCAAGAUGGCCACCAGGAUAUUUUAUUAAAUAACGGGACCAAUAUUAAACCAAAUUUGGCCUCAAUCAUUAUUUGGGUAUCUGUUAUGAUUUUUAUCUAUCUUUACAUGAUUUCUUAAACCAAAGUAUAGUCAGGUGAGCGACACAGGCUCUUGAGAGCCUCUAGUUUUAUAAUGUUAAAUUAGUUUUGCAAAGACACAAACAAAUGUAUUCAAUAAGUUUUUCCCGUAUGUACAAGACAUGCUUUGUAUUGAAGUAACUAAGGUGAUAUAACUGUAAACAGGAACAUUUUUUAUGAUGUUUCUGUUUUACUGUUAUCAUAUAUUAAAUUAUAGAUUUAUGAUACACUACAGGUCACUAGCUGUAGAUAACGUACAAAUAAAAUAAAAAAUGGAAACGGAGAAUGUUUCAAAGAGCAGAAAACAGCCAUAGGCCAAAUACAUGUUUUGUCUUGUGGCAUUCAUAAAAAAACUUUAGAUAUUUAAACCUUUAUUUAAAUGAUCAGAAACCAGUGAUUUUUGAUAACUUAGAUAUAUGUACAAAGUAAUUGUUUGUUGGUAUUAUGAAGCAAUGAAUGCAUGUUGAUAUCAAAUUACACAUUAAAUAGUUGCUGAGA